AGACCUAGACACCACUCCUCUCCACCAAACCACUUACCAACUAAUUGUUAUCUUAAUACUAACUUAAAUAUAUAAACUAAGAUAAACUAAAAAUAGGAUUAAAAUAAAAAACUAAAUAAAAAAAGAAACAGUUGGUCUAGCCUAAUUAAAACCAGUCGCUUGGCUGUUGGGUUUCCAAUGGGAAUAAGUUGGAAAUAUAAAAAUAAUUAUUACCUAAUAUCCUAUGAACUUUAAAUUUCAAAACAUUCUGUUAAAGAACUAAAUUAAAGAAAAGAAUUAAAUAAAAAAAUGGAAUAGUAACGUGGCCUUUCUCUUCAUCCUCUCCAUCUCACGAAUCCCUCUCACUCCUUCGCUCUCUCUCAUUCACUCUAACUCACGAAAACCACUCUCAAACGCUCUCCCUAUCUCACGAUUUACACCAAACCCUCAAUCGCGCUCACCUCUCUCAAUAAGAAACCUCUCAAUCGCG
Molecule: long non-coding RNA, 469 nt
Filed under: Lathyrus oleraceus (garden pea)
Lineage: Eukaryota; Viridiplantae; Streptophyta; Magnoliopsida; Fabales; Fabaceae
Description: Pisum sativum (pea) long non-coding RNA (PSAT_LNC036142)
Source: RNAcentral